RNAcentral lists this non-coding RNA (26 nucleotides) under Homo sapiens (human). The record is from RNAcentral. Lineage: Eukaryota; Metazoa; Chordata; Mammalia; Primates; Hominidae.
UCCCACAUUGCACUGCCAUGACGCUC